RNAcentral lists this ribosomal RNA (429 nucleotides) under Gemmatimonadota bacterium. Its description in RNAcentral is "Gemmatimonadetes bacterium partial 16S ribosomal RNA". It matches the Rfam family "Bacterial small subunit ribosomal RNA", at positions 355 to 776 of the family's 1533-position model. Lineage: Bacteria; Pseudomonadati; Gemmatimonadota. The record is from RNAcentral.
UAGGGAAUCUUCGGCAAUGGACGAAAGUCUGACCGAGCAACGCCGCGUGAGUGAAGAAGGUUUUCGGAUCGUAAAACUCUGUUGUUAGAGAAGAACAAGGACGUUAGUAACUGAACGUCCCCUGACGGUAUCUAACCAGAAAGCCACGGCUAACUACGUGCCAGCAGCCGCGGUAAUACGUAGGUGGCAAGCGUUGUCCGGAUUUAUUGGGCGUAAAGCGAGCGCAGGCGGUUUCUUAAGUCUGAUGUGAAAGCCCCCGGCUCAACCGGGGAGGGUCAUUGGGAACUGGGAGACUUGAGUGCAGAAGAGGAGAGUGGAAUUCCAAGUGUAGCGGUGAAAUGCGUAGAUAUAUGGAGGAACACCAGUGGCGAAGGCGGCUCUCUGGUCUGUAACUGACGCUGAGGCUCGAAAGCGUGGGGAGCAAACAGG